GAGGGUAUAGCUCAGUGGUAGAGUGUGUACUUAGCACGCACGAAGUCCUGGGUUCAAUCCCCUGUCCUUCCA
Transfer RNA from Camelus ferus (Wild Bactrian camel), 72 nucleotides. It matches the Rfam family "tRNA". From Rfam's summary of the family: Transfer RNA (tRNA) molecules are approximately 80 nucleotides in length. Their secondary structure includes four short double-helical elements and three loops (D, anti-codon, and T loops). NCBI's taxonomy places the organism in Eukaryota, Metazoa, Chordata, Mammalia, Artiodactyla, Camelidae. The record is from Rfam.